ACAGCCACAUCGCAUAGAAACACCAGUUCUUAUAUGAUCACUGAAGUUAAGCAAUGUUGAGUCUGGUCUGUACCAAGAUGGGUGACUGAUUGGGAAUACCAUGUGCAGUAAG
Acanthosepion pharaonis is the source of this 112-nucleotide non-coding RNA. The record is from the annotation of a GenBank genome assembly. NCBI's taxonomy places the organism in Eukaryota, Metazoa, Mollusca, Cephalopoda, Sepiida, Sepiidae.